CCUGUGUUCCUCUAUGCACUUAUAGCCUGUCAUGUUUCUGUUACUGAUGUUACACUGGGGGAACAGGAAUGAUGUUCUCUAUGUGUGAUCUAUACAUGACUCCAUUAACCCAGUUUAUACAUGGCUGGUCUUACAUCACCAAUGACUCCUGUGCCCUGUUUUAUUCUAAAUGUACUUUGUGACAGAGCAUUUUAGGAGUCCAAUUUUCAUGUUCACUACAGUGGCAAGCUUGUGGCGAUACAUAAUUGGUAGCAACCCGACUCUGUUUAUCCAGCAUGUUUAGAGGUCAACGCCCACGUUGUCUGUCUGAUGUUGAUGACAAGGCUGCAGGUUCCCGUUACUGCGGCCUGCGGGUGUCCUGAGUCAGUGCCUGUUAAUAAUUAACCCGUGUUUGUUGGUCUGGGCUCUGCCCACAAACUUUAGUUACCUCGCUCUGCCUCUCAGCACCCUUUAUGAAAAGAUAUCCUAUACAGUAACUUAAAGCUACACUCAGCAAUAUGACAUCAUUAUGCCGGUCAGCUUUCCCCUUACAGAAACAGCAGCAAUGCACAUUAGGGAGAGACAAUAGUGGAAGUCUUGGUAAAUCUGAAUUCUGUUGUUGUUUAUGUAUGUAUGUUAAGCAGGAAGUUGCCCCAAUAUGUGCGAUGAUAUCCUAUUGCUGAGUCUCCCUUUGAAGGGUCAGAUUUGAAAUACCUCCUGCAUCACAGUCUUUACCAGAAAGACAGAGGGGGCAUCUAACGAUUGCUGCAAGUGGGCAAAGUGUAGCUAAUUGUCUAUGCGUGACUAAAUGGGUUUAAACCUCGGUCAUCUGCGUGCCACAACAUUAUUAACCAGCUGAGGUAAAGCCUGUCUUCAGUCGCCUGGGAAGUGUACUCAUCACAUGGACAUCGAGUCGCCUCUAUGACACAUGAACUCUAAGAAGAGAAGUAAGAUGGUGAUUCAGGUGUUCCCGGGGCUGCAGAAUGGAGAUAACGUUUCCUCAGCUUGUAAAGACCAUCUAUAAUUCAGCCUUUGAGGCAGUGUUUUUCCUGAAGAGGCUGGAUGGUGCCGGGAGUGAAUCAGUGACAGAACAGCAAACAGUAAAGGGAAGAGAUGGAAGAAGAGAGGAAAGAGAGAGAGAGAGAGAUCUGUGUGCACGGAGUAGAGUUGUCAACUUAUUCUGGGAUACCUUUUGACUGAAGUGGUCUAACAAAGUUUUGCAGGAAGGACCCGUAGAGGAUAUGCUUGGACUAACAGAGGAUCAAACCAGACCGAAUCUCUUCUCCUGCUUGUUAUUAUUGUGCUGAUUGGUGGUUGCAUUUCUAGCUGCCAGUGAAUCACAGGGCUGCCCACACAGACACAACUGACUGCUCUGGGAGAGAAAGCAUUCUCUGAGGAUUGACAACCCUAGCUGGGAGUGACAGAAGAGCAAAGUGUAAAAGAGGAAUAGAGGAGGGGGUAGGAAAAUAGAGAGAGAGAUCGACAAAUCAUGGAGGUUAAGAGGCUUCCGAUAAUUGCUGGCAGAGAGAAAGGUUUAUUGAAGACAUCUGUUAUGCAACAUGUUUAAAUGAAAACUUGAAUUUAGUUGACAGGGACUGUACUCAACACUGUCAUAUUUCUGUUUUAACAUCAAUGGAAAAGUGAAAUGUAGAAGCUCUAGAAACUGGAGUAGCAGGAAUAUGGGAAAAAAUAUAUAUUUUUGUUUUACAUGACUGGAAAAUAAACAUGAUCAUUAUCAUCACCAUCAUUACUUGUUGCUAGGGCCAGGCCCCGGGCGCUAUGCUCUCCCUCCAACCAUUGGCUACGUCAACCAUGACCGCACCAAGCACAGUAGCCCCGCCUACACCUUCCACAGACGUAUAAGCAGCAACAUGGUCUCCGUGGAUUGCAGUCCAGGACCCCAGUACCACAUCGAUGCUAAGAUGACCCGGUUCGGCCGCACUGCAGGUCCCUACAGCCCAGAGAAAGCUCAUCUCAGACCUUCCUCCUACACUAUUCGCUCUCUGUCACGCUACUGUAUAAUGGAUUCCCGGUACAAAUGAAAGAGAGAGACAGAGGGGGUAAAGAGUGACGCUAUAUGAUUCAUAUCAUUCUUAAAAAUAAAAAAAAUUG
This is a long non-coding RNA of Oncorhynchus kisutch (coho salmon), 2091 nucleotides long. RefSeq lists it as uncharacterized. The transcript is spliced from 3 exons. Lineage: Eukaryota; Metazoa; Chordata; Actinopteri; Salmoniformes; Salmonidae. The record is from RefSeq and is a predicted model, not a curated record.